Cyprinus carpio (common carp) is the source of this 413-nucleotide long non-coding RNA. RefSeq lists it as uncharacterized. The record is from RefSeq and is a predicted model, not a curated record. Lineage: Eukaryota; Metazoa; Chordata; Actinopteri; Cypriniformes; Cyprinidae.
AGGUUUGUCAUAUCCCUUUAACUAAAGGCAUUUCCUCAGUGACAUCAUCAUCCAGGAAGUGACAUGAUUUUGGAGGAAAAUCAACAGCAGAAACGCAUCAGUCCAUUGAACUCGAACAAUAACGAGAAGUGAAUAAACAAAUUGAUCCAGGGUCGUGACCUGCAGUCUGUGCAACAGGUUUGGACAUAAACACCAGGUCCAGUUUCAGCUGUGAGCAAACAAAGCUUACUUGAAGAUGGUGAAGACGUGAAGUCAACGCAGCAGUGACGUGAUUGACUGGGGCAUCGUCUCUUGGCGUAACUUCCUGUUCAUCUGAGAGUGACGUGAAAAGAGACACGUGCAGCAUAUAUAGGGACACCCUACAUUACCAUUCAAAAUAUUUUGUUUUUGAAAGAAAUUAAUACUUUUAUUCA